RNAcentral lists this ribosomal RNA (440 nucleotides) under uncultured bacterium. RNAcentral's name for it is "partial 16S ribosomal RNA". It matches the Rfam family "Bacterial small subunit ribosomal RNA", at positions 338 to 795 of the family's 1533-position model. The record is from RNAcentral.
CCUACGGGUGACAGCAGUGGGGAAUAUUGCACAAUGGGGGAAACCCUGAUGCAGCGACGCCGCGUGAGUGAAGAAGUAUUUCGGUACGUAAAGCUCUAUCAGCAGGGAAGAAAAUGACGGUACCUGACUAAGAAGCCCCGGCUAACUACGUGCCAGCAGCCGCGGUAAUACGUAGGGGGCAAGCGUUAUCCGGAUUUACUGGGUGUAAAGGGAGCGUAGACGGCAGCGCAAGUCUGGAGUGAAAUCCCAUGGCUUAACCAUGGAACUGCUUUGGAAACUGUGCAGCUAGAGUGCAGGAGAGGUAAGCGGAAUUCCUAGUGUAGCGGUGAAAUGCGUAGAUAUUAGGAGGAACACCAGUGGCGAAGGCGGCUUAAUGGACUGUAACUGACGUUGAGGCUCGAAAGCGUGGGGAGCAAACAGGAUUAGAUACCCCGGUAGUC